GACGAACGCUGGCGGCGUGCUUAACACAUGCAAGUCGAACGGAAAGGCCCUGCUUUUGUGCGGUGCUCGAUUGGCGAACGGGUGAGUAACACGUGAGUAACCUGCCCUUGACUUUGGGAUAACUUCAGGAAACUGGGGCUAAUAUCGGAUAGGAGCUGCUGCUGCAUGGUGGGGGUUGGAAAGUUUCGGCGGUUGGGGCUGGACUCGCGGCUUAUCAGCUUGUUGGUGGGGUAGUGGCUUACCAAGGCUUUGACGGGUAGCCGGCCUGGGAGGGUGACCGGCGACAUUGGGACUAAGAGACGGACCAGAGUCCUACGGGAGGCAGCAGUGGGGAGUAUUGCACAAUGGGCGGAAGCCUGAUGCAGCAACGCCGGGGGCGGGAUGACGGCCUUCGGGUUGUGAACCGCUUUCGCCUGUGACGAAGCGUGAGUGACGGUAAUGGGUAAAGAAGCACCGGCUAACUACGUG
RNAcentral lists this ribosomal RNA (468 nucleotides) under uncultured bacterium. RNAcentral's name for it is "partial 16S ribosomal RNA". It matches the Rfam family "Bacterial small subunit ribosomal RNA", at positions 28 to 507 of the family's 1533-position model. The record is from RNAcentral.